Molecule: ribosomal RNA, 240 nt
Filed under: uncultured bacterium
Lineage: Bacteria
Description: partial 16S ribosomal RNA
Rfam family: Bacterial small subunit ribosomal RNA
Source: RNAcentral
UCGAGCGGCGAACGGGUGAGUAACGCGUGGAUAACCUGCCCUGAGGUGGGGGAUAACCAAGGGAAACUUUGGCUAAUACCGCAUGAUACCGAGAGGUCAAAGGGGGCUCGCAAGGGCUCUCGCCAUAGGAGGGGUCCGCGUCCGAUUAGCUAGUUGGUAGGGUAAUGGCCUACCAAGGCGACGAUCGGUAGCCGGCCUGAGAGGGUGAUCGGCCACACUGGAACUGAGACACGGUCCAGG